Molecule: ribosomal RNA, 492 nt
Filed under: uncultured bacterium
Lineage: Bacteria
Description: partial 16S ribosomal RNA
Rfam family: Bacterial small subunit ribosomal RNA
Source: RNAcentral
AGUGAACGCUGGCGGUAGGCCUAACACAUGCAAGUCGAACGGCAGCACAGUAAGAGCUUGCUCUUACGGGUGGCGAGUGGCGGACGGGUGAGGAAUACAUCGGAAUCUACUUUUUCGUGGGGGAUAACGUAGGGAAACUUACGCUAAUACCGCAUACGACCUACGGGUGAAAGCAGGGGAUCUUCGUACCUUGCGCGAUUGAAUGAGCCGAUGUCGGAUUAGCUAGUUGGCGGGGUAAAGGCCCACCAAGGCGACGAUCCGUAGCUGGUCUGAGAGGAUGAUCAGCCACACUGGAACUGAGACACGGUCCAGACUCCUACGGGAGGCAGCAGUGGGGAAUAUUGGACAAUGGGCGCAAGCCUGAUCCAGCCAUACCGCGUGGGUGAAGAAGGCCUUCGGGUUGUAAAGCCCUUUUAUUGGGAAAGAAAAGCAGCAGGUUAAUACCCCGCUGUUCUGACGGUACCCAAAGAAUAAGCACCGGCUAACUUCGUG